RNAcentral lists this transfer RNA (81 nucleotides) under Triticum aestivum (bread wheat). It matches the Rfam family "tRNA". From Rfam's summary of the family: Transfer RNA (tRNA) molecules are approximately 80 nucleotides in length. Their secondary structure includes four short double-helical elements and three loops (D, anti-codon, and T loops). Lineage: Eukaryota; Viridiplantae; Streptophyta; Magnoliopsida; Poales; Poaceae. The record is from Rfam by way of RNAcentral. RNAcentral also lists the same sequence under 1 other name.
GCCUUGAUGGUGAAAUGGUAGACAUGCGAGACCCAAAAUCUCGUGCUGAAGAGCGUGGAGGUUCGAGUCCUCUUCAAGGCA